ACGAACGCUGGCGGCAUGCCUAACACAUGCAAGUCGAACGAAGCCCUCGGGCUUAGUGGCGCACGGGUGCGUAACGCGUGGGAAUCUGCCCCUCGGUUCGGAAUAACAGUUAGAAAUGACUGCUAAUACCGGAUGAUGACGAAAGUCCAAAGAUUUAUCGCCGAGGGAUGAGCCCGCGUAGGAUUAGCUUGUUGGUGGGGUAAUGGCCCACCAAGGCGACGAUCCUUAGCUGGUCUGAGAGGAUGAUCAGCCACACUGGGACUGAGACACGGCCCAGACUCCUACGGGAGGCAGCAGUGGGGAAUAUUGGACAAUGGGCGAAAGCCUGAUCCAGCAAUGCCGCGUGAGUGAUGAAGGCCUUAGGGUUGUAAAGCUCUUUUACCCGGGAUGAUAAUGACAGUACCGGGAGAAUAAGCUCCGGCUAACUCCGU
RNAcentral lists this ribosomal RNA (431 nucleotides) under uncultured bacterium. RNAcentral's name for it is "bacterial SSU rRNA". It matches the Rfam family "Bacterial small subunit ribosomal RNA", at positions 29 to 506 of the family's 1533-position model. The record is from RNAcentral.